GCAAGUCGAGCGGAGAAUGCGGAUAUGUUUACAUAGAAGCGUUCUUAGCGGCGGACGGGUGAGUAACACGUGGGUAACCUGCCUCAAAGUGGGGGAUAGCCUUCCGAAAGGAAGAUUAAUACCGCAUAAGCCUACAGUAUCGCAUGGUACAGCAGGAAAAGGAGCAAUCCGCUUUGAGAUGGACCCGCGGCGCAUUAGCUAGUUGGUGAGGUAACGGCUCACCAAGGCGACGAUGCGUAGCCGACCUGAGAGGGUGAUCGGCCACAUUGGAACUGAGACACGGUCCAGACUCCUACGGGAGGCAGCAGUGGGGAAUAUUGCACAAUGGGCGAAAGCCUGAUGCAGCAACGCCGCGUGAGUGAUGAAGGCCUUCGGGUCGUAAAGCUCUUUGAUCAGGGAUGAUAAUGACAGUACCUGAAAAACAAGCCAUGGCUAACUACGUGCCAGCAGCCGCGGUAAUACGUAGGUGGCGAGCGUUGUCCGGAAUUACUGGGCGUAAAGGAUGCGUAGGUGGAUAUUUAAGUGGGAUGUGAAAUCCCCGGGCUCAACCCGGGAACUGCAUUCCAAACUGGGUAUCUAGAGUGCAGGAGAGGAAAGCGGAAUUCCUAGUGUAGCGGUGAAAUGCGUAGAUAUUAGGAGGAACACCAGUGGCGAAGGCGGCUUUCUGGACUGUAACUGACACUGAGGCAUGAAAGCGUGGGUAGCAAACAGGAUUAGAUACCCUGGUAGUCCACGCCGUAAACGAUGGGUACUAGGUGUAGGAGGUAUCGACCCCUUCUGUGCCGUCGUUAACACAAUAAGUACCCCGCC
Molecule: ribosomal RNA, 810 nt
Filed under: uncultured bacterium
Lineage: Bacteria
Description: bacterial SSU rRNA
Rfam family: Bacterial small subunit ribosomal RNA
Source: RNAcentral